GAUUUCUGGCUUGAAACAUUUUGCCGGCCACGGUUUCGUGUGUUAGUGCUUGAUGUUCUGGCCAUCCUUCCAAUCGCUGUCGGCUUAUCUUCAUUGAUCGGUCGGCAGUAUUGGAUCUUUUACUUUGAAAAAAUUAGAGUGUUUCAAGCAGGCUUUAUGCUAUGAAUACAUUAGCAUGGAAUAAUAAUUUAGGACUUCGGUUCUAUUUUGUUGGUUUCUAGGACUGAAGUAAUGAUUGAUAGGGAUAGUUGGGGGUGCUAGUAUUCAGCGGCCAGAGGUGAAAUUCUCGGAUUCGCUGAAGACUAACUUAUGCGAAAGCAUU
Molecule: ribosomal RNA, 322 nt
Filed under: uncultured Rhogostoma
Lineage: Eukaryota; Cercozoa; Thecofilosea; Cryomonadida
Description: SSU rRNA
Rfam family: Eukaryotic small subunit ribosomal RNA (bases 112-322)
Source: RNAcentral